RNAcentral lists this ribosomal RNA (1542 nucleotides) under Enterobacter hormaechei. RNAcentral describes it as "bacterial SSU rRNA". It matches the Rfam family "Bacterial small subunit ribosomal RNA". The record is from RNAcentral. RNAcentral also lists the same sequence under 2 other names. Lineage: Bacteria; Pseudomonadati; Pseudomonadota; Gammaproteobacteria; Enterobacterales; Enterobacteriaceae.
AAAUUGAAGAGUUUGAUCAUGGCUCAGAUUGAACGCUGGCGGCAGGCCUAACACAUGCAAGUCGAACGGUAACAGGAAGCAGCUUGCUGCUUUGCUGACGAGUGGCGGACGGGUGAGUAAUGUCUGGGAAACUGCCUGAUGGAGGGGGAUAACUACUGGAAACGGUAGCUAAUACCGCAUAACGUCGCAAGACCAAAGAGGGGGACCUUCGGGCCUCUUGCCAUCGGAUGUGCCCAGAUGGGAUUAGCUAGUAGGUGGGGUAACGGCUCACCUAGGCGACGAUCCCUAGCUGGUCUGAGAGGAUGACCAGCCACACUGGAACUGAGACACGGUCCAGACUCCUACGGGAGGCAGCAGUGGGGAAUAUUGCACAAUGGGCGCAAGCCUGAUGCAGCCAUGCCGCGUGUAUGAAGAAGGCCUUCGGGUUGUAAAGUACUUUCAGCGGGGAGGAAGGCGUUGUGGUUAAUAACCACAGCGAUUGACGUUACCCGCAGAAGAAGCACCGGCUAACUCCGUGCCAGCAGCCGCGGUAAUACGGAGGGUGCAAGCGUUAAUCGGAAUUACUGGGCGUAAAGCGCACGCAGGCGGUCUGUCAAGUCGGAUGUGAAAUCCCCGGGCUCAACCUGGGAACUGCAUUCGAAACUGGCAGGCUAGAGUCUUGUAGAGGGGGGUAGAAUUCCAGGUGUAGCGGUGAAAUGCGUAGAGAUCUGGAGGAAUACCGGUGGCGAAGGCGGCCCCCUGGACAAAGACUGACGCUCAGGUGCGAAAGCGUGGGGAGCAAACAGGAUUAGAUACCCUGGUAGUCCACGCCGUAAACGAUGUCGACUUGGAGGUUGUGCCCUUGAGGCGUGGCUUCCGGAGCUAACGCGUUAAGUCGACCGCCUGGGGAGUACGGCCGCAAGGUUAAAACUCAAAUGAAUUGACGGGGGCCCGCACAAGCGGUGGAGCAUGUGGUUUAAUUCGAUGCAACGCGAAGAACCUUACCUACUCUUGACAUCCAGAGAACUUUCCAGAGAUGGAUUGGUGCCUUCGGGAACUCUGAGACAGGUGCUGCAUGGCUGUCGUCAGCUCGUGUUGUGAAAUGUUGGGUUAAGUCCCGCAACGAGCGCAACCCUUAUCCUUUGUUGCCAGCGGUCCGGCCGGGAACUCAAAGGAGACUGCCAGUGAUAAACUGGAGGAAGGUGGGGAUGACGUCAAGUCAUCAUGGCCCUUACGAGUAGGGCUACACACGUGCUACAAUGGCGCAUACAAAGAGAAGCGACCUCGCGAGAGCAAGCGGACCUCAUAAAGUGCGUCGUAGUCCGGAUUGGAGUCUGCAACUCGACUCCAUGAAGUCGGAAUCGCUAGUAAUCGUGGAUCAGAAUGCCACGGUGAAUACGUUCCCGGGCCUUGUACACACCGCCCGUCACACCAUGGGAGUGGGUUGCAAAAGAAGUAGGUAGCUUAACCUUCGGGAGGGCGCUUACCACUUUGUGAUUCAUGACUGGGGUGAAGUCGUAACAAGGUAACCGUAGGGGAACCUGCGGUUGGAUCACCUCCUUA